GACUUAGCAUAGCCUUACAUGAAGCUCGACCUGAGUCAACUGUACCAAAGUUUGGCAACUACAAGAUUGGGCUUCUUCCCAACUGUCCAACCAUGACACCAGGGUCAAAUGAUUGUGGUUUUUUUGUUGCAAACUUCCUCCGCUACUACGAUUUUGAUGAUGGUGACUUAUCAGAAUUUUAUACUCCGGAUGAACCAUUGGACCAACGUGCCUUUGUUCUGCAUUACCUUACGUUUCAUCGCAACAACAUGGUUGCCCCCCUUCCUGCAGAACUGCUGCCUUUCAAGUAUUCUCCAAGGAGGCGCCGCUGUUUGAAAGCCAAGACUUAGAUAGAAUACCUGAUCAUGAUUCCCUGUGGGAUGAACAAAACUGUUUAUGUUACUUGUUAAGUCACUUAUGUCAGGCCUCUCA
Molecule: long non-coding RNA, 411 nt
Organism: Zea mays
Lineage: Eukaryota; Viridiplantae; Streptophyta; Magnoliopsida; Poales; Poaceae
Exons: 2
Source: RefSeq, a predicted model, not a curated record